AGUGAACGCUGGCGGUAGGCCUAACACAUGCAAGUCGAACGGCAGCACAGUAAGAGCUUGCUCUUACGGGUGGCGAGUGGCGGACGAGUGAGGAAUACAUCGGAAUCUACUUUUUCGUGGGGGAUAACGUAGGGAAACUUACGCUAAUACCGCAUACGACCUACGGGUGAAAGCAGGGGAUCUUCGGACCUUGCGCGAUUGAAUGAGCCGAUGUCGGAUUAGCUAGUUGGCGGGGUAAAGGCCCACCAAGGCGACGAUCCGUAGCUGGUCUGAGAGGAUGAACAGCCACACUGGAACUGAGACACGGUCCAGACUCCUACGGGAGGCAGCAGUGGGGAAUAUUGGACGAUGGGCGCAAGCCUGAUCCAGCCAUACCGCGUGGGUGAAGAAGGCCUUCGGGUUGUAAAGCCCUUUUGUUGUGAAAGAAAAGCAGCAGGUUAAUACCCCGCUGCUCUGACGGUACCCAAAGAAUAAGCACCGGCUAACUUCGUG
Molecule: ribosomal RNA, 492 nt
Filed under: uncultured bacterium
Lineage: Bacteria
Description: partial 16S ribosomal RNA
Rfam family: Bacterial small subunit ribosomal RNA
Source: RNAcentral